Molecule: unclassified non-coding RNA, 771 nt
Filed under: Zea mays
Lineage: Eukaryota; Viridiplantae; Streptophyta; Magnoliopsida; Poales; Poaceae
Description: misc RNA Zm00001eb437720
Source: RNAcentral
AUGCUCGAGCUGCUCGCGCGGCGAGAGCGGGCCGCCGCGUGCCGGCCGGGGGACGGACCGGCGGCCCCCUCGGGGCCUUCCCCGGGCGUCGAACAACCGACUCAGAACUGAAUCCAAGCUAGCAACCGGCGCCUCUGCUCGCCGCCCGCCCCGACCCACGUUAGGGCGUUCGCGCCCCAAGGGCCCGUGCCAUUGGCUCAGCCCGCCCGGCCGACGCGCCGCGGCGGGCCGCCUCGAAGCUCCCUUCCCAACGGGCGGCGUGCUGAAUCCUUUGCAGACGACUUAAAACGCGACGGGGCAUUGCAGAACUCCCCGAAGUCCUGGGAGGGGUAUGCCCCUCAGGUCUCCUCGGCCGAGCCCCGCACCCCCUCGCGGCCUAGCCGUGGCCGUCGGCACCCUACCGCGCCCAGCUCCGGCUGGCGCUGUUGGCUGCCUGGCCGGCCGUGGUUCGGCCGUGACGCAGCCACGACCGGCUAUGGCUGGCUACCGCCGGCCAGACGCCCUGGACGAGUGGCUGCACCGUGGGAUGGCCCGUUGCUCGAUGCGUUUUCCGUUUCUCCCGCGCUCGGUGGACCUUCGUCGCCGUCCUCGCAAGCAGACCCGCCGCGCCCAGCGCGGAGGGAUGCUUUGGAUGGCCCGACCGUAGCGGCUACGCUGGCGCAUGAGUUGUCUUGGACCCGUGACUGCUUGGAGGACCCCCGCUGCCGUGCGGCCGACUCCCGCGCCCGUGUCCCCGAUCCGCUCGCGCCCAUCCUGUGCCUGCUGCGUUGA